ACGGAAGGCAGCAGUGAGGAAUAUUGGUCAAUGGACGGAAGUCUGAACCAGCCAAGUCGCGUGAAGGAAGACGGUUCUAUGGAUUGUAAACUUCUUUUGCUCGAGGGUAAAGUGAGCCACGUGUGGCUUAUUGCAAGUAUCGAGUGAAUAAGCAUCGGCUAACUCCGUGCCAGCAGCCGCGGUAAUACGGAGGAUGCGAGCGUUAUCCGGAUUUAUUGGGUUUAAAGGGUGCGUAGGCGGGAUGUUAAGUCAGCGGUGAAAGUUUGCGGCUCAACCGUAAAAUUGCCGUUGAAACUGGCGUUCUUGAGUGUAAACGAGGUAGGCGGAAUGUAACGUGUAGCGGUGAAAUGCUUAGAUAUGUUACAGAACCCCGAUUGCGAAGGCAGCUUACCAGCAUAUGACUGACGCUGAUGCACGAAAGCGUGGGUAUCAAACAGGAUUAGAUACCCUGGUA
This 454-nucleotide ribosomal RNA is filed under the name uncultured Porphyromonadaceae bacterium. Its description in RNAcentral is "bacterial SSU rRNA". It matches the Rfam family "Bacterial small subunit ribosomal RNA", at positions 341 to 792 of the family's 1533-position model. Lineage: Bacteria; Pseudomonadati; Bacteroidota; Bacteroidia; Bacteroidales; Porphyromonadaceae. The record is from RNAcentral.